RNAcentral lists this ribosomal RNA (279 nucleotides) under uncultured bacterium. RNAcentral describes it as "partial 16S ribosomal RNA". It matches the Rfam family "Bacterial small subunit ribosomal RNA", at positions 8 to 286 of the family's 1533-position model. The record is from RNAcentral.
AGAGUUUGAUCCUGGCUCAGAACGAACGUUAGCGGCGCGCCUAAGACAUGCAAGUCGAGCGAGAAAGGGAUUCGUCCCCGGUAAAGCGGCGCACGGGUGAGUAACACGUAGGUAAUCAACCCUCGAGUGGUGGAUAACUCUCCGAAAGGAGAGCUAAUACAGCAUGAUGCUAGCAAUAGCCAAAGCGGGCCUCUUCAUGAAAGCUCGCGCUAGAGGAUGAGCCUGCGGCCCAUCAGGUAGUUGGCGGGGGUAAUGGCCCACCAAGCCAUAGACGGGUAG